This 372-nucleotide unclassified non-coding RNA is filed under the name uncultured bacterium. Its description in RNAcentral is "contains 16S-23S intergenic spacer region". The record is from RNAcentral.
UCCGACUUGACGUCGGCAGUCUCGGUAGAGUGCUCAACUUAAUGGUGGCAACUACCGACAGAGGUUGCGCUCGUUGCGGCACUUAAGCCAACACCUCACGGCACGAGCUGACGACAGCCAUGCAGCACCUGUGCUGGCCCCUUACGGACACGCGCUUUCACGCGCUUUAACCAGCAUGUCAAGCCCAGGUAAGGUUCUUCGCGUUGCAUCGAAUUAAGCCACAUGCUCCGCCGCUUGUGCGGGUCCCCGUCAAUUCCUUUGAGUUUUAACCUUGCGGCCGUACUCCCCAGGCGGUCAACUUCACGCGUUAGCUUCGUUACCAAGGAAUUGCUUCCCCGACAACCAGUUGACAUAGUUUAGGGCGUGGACUAC